Long non-coding RNA from Phasianus colchicus (ring-necked pheasant), 928 nucleotides. RefSeq lists it as uncharacterized. The record is from RefSeq and is a predicted model, not a curated record. Lineage: Eukaryota; Metazoa; Chordata; Aves; Galliformes; Phasianidae.
GCUGAGGUGCGGGGCGCGAUUCCCGGCGUGCCCCGCGCGUACCGGCUCCCGGCGUGCCCCGCGCCCGGAAUGGCCUCCGGUAGCGCCGGCCCGGCCCCAUCCUAUCCCGGCCUCAUCCCGUCCCGGUCCCCGCAGGCGCUGCGGUUCCUCUGAGCGCUCGCUGUCGCGCCUCCCGCGCUCUGGCUGCCCGUCAGCCCGCCGUCCCCUCACACCUCUCGCCACUGAUACCGCAGAUCUUCGUCUGUAUCUGAACGAAGGGUGAAAACAUGUUAACGUUCAAAGCAGCGCCACAGAUGUCAGUGAAGAGAGUGAGGUGCUGGCAGGGCCAGGAGGGGAAGGGCCUCGUGGAGAAGAUUGCACGUCGGCUGUCGUGCGAUGGCACAGCAGGGCCGUGCUGACCUCCCUGUGAGGCUGCUGAGGAGAGGCCUGCGCUGAGCCCGCCGCUGCUUUCUGUGGGCUGUGUUACCGCGCUGGCAGGAGCACGGCCAUGGCGUGUCCUGGCCUGUGUGGAAUCUGCUCCUGAGACAGCGAUAUUUUCAGUGCAGCAGUAAGCUGUCAAAGACUGCCUUGCUUCUUCUCCAGAACGAUCGUAAACUUUACAACUGAAAUUACUGGGAAGCUGAUGGGGAUUUGUAAUGCAUAUGCUAAGAUUGUUUAGCGAGCGUGUCAGCUUUAGGCAUUACUAAUGAAAAACAUUUGAAAAUGGAACCUUAGCAGGCUGCUUCUUAGAAACAGAGAAGCCCAAACAAUGCUCACGGGGAACGCAGAGCUCCGUUCCCAGCUCACACCAUGGCUGGGCCGUGCUGCCUGCUGAGCAACGCGCGCUGAGGGCGCAGCCCACUGAAGGUGUGCUGUGUGUCAACUGCCUUCAUGUGAGGUUUCACGCUGGAACACAGAUGGUGUGAAAUACAAUAAAGCUGUUUGGAAA